RNAcentral lists this ribosomal RNA (497 nucleotides) under uncultured bacterium. Its description in RNAcentral is "partial 16S ribosomal RNA". It matches the Rfam family "Bacterial small subunit ribosomal RNA", at positions 28 to 507 of the family's 1533-position model. The record is from RNAcentral.
GACGAACGCUGGCGGCGUGCCUAAUACAUGCAAGUUGAGCGCUGAAGGUUGGUACUUGUACCGACUGGAUGAGCAGCGAACGGGUGAGUAACGCGUGGGGAAUCUGCCUUUGAGCGGGGGACAACAUUUGGAAACGGAUGCUAAUACCGCAUAAAAACUUUAAACACAAGUUUUAAGUUUGAAAGAUGCAAUUGCAUCACUCAAAGAUGAUCCCGCGUUGUAUUAGCUAGUUGGUGAGGUAAAGGCUCACCAAGGCGAUGAUACAUAGCCGACCUGAGAGGGUGAUCGGCCACAUUGGGACUGAGACACGGCCCAAACUCCUACGGGAGGCAGCAGUAGGGAAUCUUCGGCAAUGGACGAAAGUCUGACCGAGCAACGCCGCGUGAGUGAAGAAGGUUUUCGGAUCGUAAAACUCUGUUGGUAGAGAAGAACGUUGGUGAGAGUGGAAAGCUCAUCAAGAGACGGUAACUACCCAGAAAGGGACGGCUAACUACGUG